GAGUUUGAUCCUGGCUCAGAUUGAACGCUGGCGGCAUGCCUUACACAUGCAAGUCGAACGGCAGCACGGGAGCAAUCCUGGUGGCGAGUGGCGAACGGGUGAGUAAUAUAUCGGAACGUGCCCAGUCGUGGGGGAUAACGCAGCGAAAGCUGUGCUAAUACCGCAUACGAUCUCUGGAUGAAAGCGGGGGACUCUGAAAGGAGCCUCGCGCGAUUGGAGCGGCCGAUAUCAGAUUAGCUAGUUGGUGGGGUAAAAGCUCACCAAGGCGACGAUCUGUAGCUGGUCUGAGAGGACGACCAGCCACACUGGAACUGAGACACGGUCCAGACUCCUACGGGAGGCAGCAGUGGGGAAUUUUGGACAAUGGGCGCAAGCCUGAUCCAGCAAUGCCGCGUGCAGGAUGAAGGCCUUCGGGUUGUAAACUGCUUUUGUACGGAACGAAAAAGUUCUUUCUAAUAAAGAGAGCUCAUGACGGUACCGUAAGAAUAAGCACCGGCUAACUACGUGCCAGCAGCCGCGGUAAUACGUAGGGUGCGAGCGUUAAUCGGAAUUACUGGGCGUAAAGCGUGCGCAGGCGGUUAUGUAAGACAGAUGUGAAAUCCCCG
RNAcentral lists this ribosomal RNA (605 nucleotides) under uncultured bacterium. RNAcentral describes it as "bacterial SSU rRNA". It matches the Rfam family "Bacterial small subunit ribosomal RNA", at positions 9 to 605 of the family's 1533-position model. The record is from RNAcentral.